RNAcentral lists this unclassified non-coding RNA (544 nucleotides) under plant metagenome. Its description in RNAcentral is "partial contains internal transcribed spacer 2 and large subunit ribosomal RNA". The stretch from base 1 to 104 matches the Rfam family "5.8S ribosomal RNA", at positions 50 to 154 of the family's 154-position model. The record is from RNAcentral.
GAAAUGCGAUACGUGAUGUGAAUUGCAGACUUCGUGAAUCAUCGAAUCUUUGAACGCAAAUGGCACUUCUGGGCUUGCUCAGGAGUAUGUCUGUUUGAGGGUCAGUUUUACGAUCACAGCCGCAAGGCUUUGUGGACGAUGAGCAUUCUCUUUGCCGGAGAUUGCUUGAAAGAUAUGCAGGAAGCGUAGCCGACAACCUCGGUUGCGGUCGUUCCUCGGCACAAGGUUCGUGCUCUUGAGCAAAGCCAUACGCAGGGAUUGUCCUGCUAUGCAGCCCCGACCUCCGGGUGUCUGUUCAUAGCUCGGGAGAUGAAACGCGCUUGUGGCUGAACUUUUGUGCUUUGGAAAAGGCCAGCAUUUCGCCGAUAGCAACGAGUGAUACUCGCAAGAGUUUUCAACAACGUGCUGGAAGCUGUGCUGUGCUGACUGCGCCUUGGUGGCUAGCCAGCUGCUCCUGAGCGUCGUCUUCUUCGGAAGCCGCGCAAACCCAAUCUUAUCUCAACUAUGACCUCAAAUCAGGCAAGACUACCCGCUGAACUUAAGC